This is a long non-coding RNA of Hylaeus volcanicus, 328 nucleotides long. RefSeq lists it as uncharacterized. The record is from RefSeq and is a predicted model, not a curated record. The transcript has 3 exons. Lineage: Eukaryota; Metazoa; Arthropoda; Insecta; Hymenoptera; Colletidae.
GUUCCAGCACACCCUAUAUAGCUGGUCGACGUUAGAAGGUAGAUUUUCAAGUGGAGUACAGGAAAAUGGCGACUACCUUGCGCACUCCCUCUGAGCAUAAGGAGUCUCUAACAACUUGUAAAAGAUCACAGACGCAAUUGAAUUGAAGAGGACUGAGAUCACAGCUAGAAACGUAUUGUAGUAGUACGAUUGUGAGCAGUGUUUAGUUGCUCUAUACUAGAGAGAACUCUGGAGAGGAACGCUUCGAAAGAAAGUUGGAAACCUCUGUUUACCUUGGUCGUGGCUUCCUGUAUCGGAAAACCAUCUCGAGAACCGGUCAGAAAAAUUC